This 737-nucleotide long non-coding RNA is filed under the name Citrus x clementina. Its description in RNAcentral is "Citrus clementina (C. clementina) long non-coding RNA (CCLE_LNC006008)". The record is from RNAcentral. Lineage: Eukaryota; Viridiplantae; Streptophyta; Magnoliopsida; Sapindales; Rutaceae.
UUCUUGCAUAAUUUCCUUUACCACAACCAGGCAUGUAUGCAAUAAAUUUUGGAGGUAACUCACCUGCCGAUCGUACUUUAGCCUCGAUUAACCAACGGAUGUCAGCAGGUAUGUUAUUCCUCAUGAGUAAUCGCAUGCGUUCGGACCGAGCUUUAUAGAUCGUAAGGAGGGCAUUCUGAGGAAGUGAAGGGAAUCGCUUGCGAAGCUUCGCUAGAAUCUCGUUUCUGUCCAUACCUUCGCCUCAAAAUAUCAGUUAUUAUGGGAAACUGAAGUAACCGACUUGAUUGUCACGGAGUACCGUUAUCCGCCACUUCACCGGGGUAACAAACUAAAGCACACAAAUAGAAAAAUAAAUUAAAACACACAAAGAAAAUUAAAAUCGUCCUCUUAUUGAAUUUACCUCAAGCUCCAACUGGAUGUCGUAAACACUUCUCUCAAUGUCACUGAGUUGGCGUUCUAAACCCUCAACAUAGGCUACUAACUCUGGUGGUUGUAGAGCCCAAAUGCGUUGUGUUUUACAAAAUUGAAUCUGCCUUUUGAGAUGAGUUUUGACACGUUGAAGUGGUUUAAGAAUGCUCAGGAGGAACGGUCUAAGUAUGAGACUCAUGAUUAAAAAUGAUAAGAGAAAACUUAAUGGUAAAAUAAACACACUUAUGCAAAAACAAUUUCAAUUAGCAAAAGAAUAAUAAUAAAAAGAAAGAAAGAAAAAUCAAAUCAACGAAAAGAAAAAAAAAUCA